GCCUAGUCGUGGGGGAUACCGUAGCGAAAGUUACGUUAAUACCGCAUACGUCCUGAGGGAGAAAGCAGGGGAUUCGCAAGAACCUUGCGCGAUUAGAGUGGCCGAUGCCUGAUUAGCUUGUUGGUGGGGUAAAGGCCUACCAAGGCGACGAUCAGUAGCGGGUCUGAGAGGAUGAUCCGCCACACUGGAACUGAGACACGGUCCAGACUCCUACGGGAGGCAGCAGUGGGGAAUCUUGGACAAUGGGGGCAACCCUGAUCCAGCCAUUCCGCGUGAGUGAAGAAGGCCUUCGGGUUGUAAAGCUCUUUCAGCGGGAACGAAACGGUACGCUCUAACAUAGUGUGCUAAUGACGGUACCCGCAGAAGAAGCACCGGCUAACUACCUGCCAGCAGCCGCGGUAAUACGUAGGGUGCGAGCGUUAAUCGGAAUUACUGGGCGUAAA
This 443-nucleotide ribosomal RNA is filed under the name uncultured bacterium. RNAcentral describes it as "bacterial SSU rRNA". It matches the Rfam family "Bacterial small subunit ribosomal RNA", at positions 128 to 564 of the family's 1533-position model. The record is from RNAcentral.